Molecule: ribosomal RNA, 253 nt
Filed under: uncultured bacterium
Lineage: Bacteria
Description: partial 16S ribosomal RNA
Rfam family: Bacterial small subunit ribosomal RNA
Source: RNAcentral
UACGUAGGCAGCGAGCGUUGUUCGGAGUUACUGGGCGUAAAGAGCGUGUAGGCGGUCCGGUAAGUCCGCUGUGAAAGUCGGGGGCUCAACCCUCGAAUGCCGGUGGAUACUGUCGGGCUAGAGUGCGGAAGAGGCGAGUGGAAUUCCUGGUGUAGCGGUGAAAUGCGCAGAUAUCAGGAGGAACACCUAUUGCGAAGGCAGCUCGCUGGGACGUAACUGACGCUGAGACGCGAAAGCGUGGGGAGCAAACAGG